Penaeus chinensis is the source of this 1088-nucleotide RNA transcript. It is a transcript of the gene named serpin B4-like, with no coding region annotated. The transcript has 4 exons. NCBI's taxonomy places the organism in Eukaryota, Metazoa, Arthropoda, Malacostraca, Decapoda, Penaeidae. The record is from RefSeq and is a predicted model, not a curated record.
UAAUUGUCACUUGAUAAGGUUAAUUGCUAACCUUUAUUGCGGGAGUGGCCGUUAUUAACACGACCUUGAGUGCACGCAGGACCCUUGCAAUGCAACCUGCUCACACUGAGGGCAGGUCUCAUAGACUACCUCUCUUGCCGAGCAUAUUAGGACAUUCACGAGAAGGAUACAUUCUAUUUCCUCGAGACAUUUAUUCCAUCUGUAGAAAUGGAAAUAGAGAGAGUCACUCCAACACGAAUUACUUUCCUCACGACCAUGAGUGCCGCGGGAGUUCUGUUGCUGUCGUUGCUAACCCUAGCCGACGGGGGAAGCCCUCAGUGCAUCUCCAAGAACGAUGAGAUGUCCCCUCCUCCGCGCCCAGACCUCGGCCACAUCGCCCCCUUCAGCGUCGCGCUCUUCAGGGAGGUCCUGCCGUCGAAGGGAAACUUCGUCUUCUCGCCCUACAGCGUCUGGACCGCCCUCGUCCUGGCCUACUUCGGGUCCGGCGGGAACACGCAGACCCAGCUGGAGCAGGUCCUUCAGCUCACCAACAAGGCGGACACCCUGGCCUUGUACAGAGCCGUGACGGAACUACACGAGACGCAGGACAGCAAGCCUAACUACACCCUCAAUGCAGCUAACAAACUUUUCGUGCAGGAAUACUACCCAAUUUUCGAGUGUGUCCGUCACGUGCUCGCCAACAAGCUGCAGACUGUCAAUUUCCGUAGGUCUCAUAAAGCAGCGGAGACUAUCAACCAGUACGUUCGAGACACGACUCGCGGCAAAAUCUCGGAACUCGUGAGACCGCGCGAGAUUUCCCGAGCGCAUAUCGUCCUCGCCAAUGCCGUUUACUUCAAAGGGCUUGUGGGAGCAGCAGUUCCAGCCUGACAACACCCACCUGGAGAAGUUCUAUCCCGCUCCGGAUCAGCACGCAUUUGUUGACAUGAUGACACAGGAAAAUAAGUUUCCGAUCGGUUACUCGGGCGACCUGGACGCGCAAGUCCUGGAGAUCCCGUACCGAGAGCGAGGAGCCUCCUUGUUCGUGUUCCUCCCGCGGGAUCGCAAUACCGGCCGCGAGUUGGACGACAUGCUGCGCCAGUUCCAGCCCG